This 478-nucleotide ribosomal RNA is filed under the name uncultured bacterium. RNAcentral describes it as "partial 16S ribosomal RNA". It matches the Rfam family "Bacterial small subunit ribosomal RNA", at positions 28 to 523 of the family's 1533-position model. The record is from RNAcentral.
GACGAACGCUGGCGGCGUGCUUAACACAUGCAAGUCGAACGGUAAGGCCCUUCGGGGUACACGAGUGGCGAACGGGUGAGUAACACGUGGGUGAUCUGCCCUGCACUUCGGGAUAAGCCUGGGAAACUGGGUCUAAUACCGGAUAGGACCACUGCCUGCAUGGGUGGUGGUGGAAAGCUUUUGCGGUGUGGGAUGGGCCCGCGGCCUAACAGCUUGUUGGUGGGGUGAUGGCCUACCAAGGCGACGACGGGUAGCCGGCCUGGGAGGGUGACCGGCCACACUGGGACUGAGAUACGGCCCAGACUCCUACGGGAGGCAGCAGUGGGGAAUAUUGCACAAUGGGCGCAAGCCUGAUGCAGCGACGCCGCGUGAGGGAUGACGGCCUUCGGGUUGUAAACCUCUUUCAGCGCCGACGAAGCGCAAGUGACGGUAGGUGCAGAAGAAGGACCGGCCAACUACGUGCCAGCCGCCGCCGUAA